AAGUCGUAACAAGGUUUCCGUAGGUGAACCUGCGGAAGGAUCAUUACCGAUUUUUAGCGGACCUGAUCUUAGAUCAUGGUCUCGCGAAAACUUGUAUUUAAAACCCCACUCUUUUUAACUUUAAAAAAAUAAAUCAUGAUACAUGAAUUUGAAAAAAAAGAUCACUUUCAACAACGGAUCUCUUGGCUCUC
RNAcentral lists this unclassified non-coding RNA (191 nucleotides) under fungal sp. RNAcentral's name for it is "partial internal transcribed spacer region". The stretch from base 1 to 46 matches the Rfam family "Eukaryotic small subunit ribosomal RNA", at positions 1786 to 1831 of the family's 1831-position model. The record is from RNAcentral. Lineage: Eukaryota; Fungi.